RNAcentral lists this long non-coding RNA (1699 nucleotides) under Mus musculus (house mouse). Its description in RNAcentral is "long non-coding RNA chrX:112635301-112637000". The record is from RNAcentral. Lineage: Eukaryota; Metazoa; Chordata; Mammalia; Rodentia; Muridae.
ACCUGAGAUUGACUAUUAGAAAGGAAAUUAAAAAUUUUUUAAACUGUUUACAUGAGUUCAGAGAAGUGAGAAUAUUUAUUUUCCUAAUAUACAUUUUAAAAGUAAAGUAUUGAUUCGUGGAUUUAGGAGUUGUUUCUGAAAGUAAGCAUACAAUAAUUUGCUAUUUCCAAUAGUUUUUAUUUAACAGGAAUCAUACUGCCAUAUAUGUUAAACACUUACCAGUUGAAUGAUUAUUCUUUAAAGCCCAUUAGCAGCAGAAGAAAUCUCUUACCUUCAUACAUUAGACUAGUGCUCCACAAAUUAUAAGGUUCACCUAGCGAUCUUAUUAAUUUGAAUUUAGUUGUCGUAACUAAAGUUUUACACUUCUAGCAAGUUCACUUGCUGUGCUUUUUGAGUAAUAAGUGUUAGGUAAAAAGCAUCAAGUAUUAGUCCAGAAAACUGUGCUGCUCUUGAUUAAAUAACUGGGUACGUGGAUAAAGAAAAUCCCUAUUAAGGACAUGCCACUGAGAACAAGGAAAGGAAACCUGUAAAUACAAACAACCUGAGAUAAAAUAACCUGUUGUGAGACAUUGAGUGAGUAGGACUCAUAAGAGAUGGGAGUCUUAGAAGUUUCUAGUAGAAAAUCAUUGUAGGUUUAAAAGAAUGGAACACAUUUUGUUGUCGUUGUUUAUAUUUGAAGAUCAUUUUGGAGAAUGUAAAGACUUUUUAUCACAGUUCUUGGGGGAAGUAAGGUACCAUAUAAGGUGUUUGUGUUUAUAGUAGAAUUGAACUAAAUAAGAUCUAUUUCUUUACUUAUAAAUAGUCCCUAAAAGAAACUUCAGUGCAAACGAAAUAGAAGUCACAUUAUAAACUAAAAAAUGUCCUUAAAAGAACAGGUUUCCCUGGCACAUGACUACCCUAAAAUACCUGUAGGGGACUUAACUGUAAAGUUCCUUUCACAGACUAGUUCAUAGCCAUCGUGUGCAGAUAGAUUCACUCAACUCUCACUUUUAAGUGGUCUAUGGUAUGAACAAUGUAUCUGGGAAUUAUUUUCCCAGAAAGAGCUCUUAAAUUCUACUCAUGUCUCAAACAGGAAAACUUUCAAUAUCAGCUUUGUACCAUUCAUAAAAUUUAUAUAUAUAUACAAAUUCAAGAGUAAUUUUCAGGACCCACUUAGACAUUUUAACAUCUUUAAUGAUUAACAUUAUUUGACAAAGCUUGUUUCAUUUAUAUUAUUCCCCUAACAAUGAAGGUAAAGUUAGUUUGUAGAAGGAAGCAACCUUUUUCGAAAGUGAAAUUUUAUAAAGGGGAAGAUAAAGUGAUGAAACUGAGAAAGAUUUCACAGAAUGGGUCAGAGAUAAGAUGCCCAGCUUGCAAGAGGACAGGAAAGAGAGGCUAAUUGAAGGAGUGCAGUGUGAGUCUGGAGUGGGGGAAGUUCAGUGAGUGAAGUUCACUUGAGUCUAGGCAAUUCAAUGGAGUUCAGUUGAGAUCACUUUGUAAAGUCCAUGCAGUGAUGCUCAGCAGAGUUAGUUUGAGGACAAAGAAAUUCAGUCAGCAUCUGAGAGAAGCCAGUUUGAAUUAGUCAGCUUGGAGAGUGUUGAGCUAGAACAGCUCAGUUUAAUCAGCCAGCCAGAGUUCAGAAAGAACUAGGAAGGGUGAGCUUAUUCAGCAGUAAGCUAUGAGGUGAAAAUUAUAUCUGGUGAAUAAAUGUUACAUUUGC